GGGAUUAGGCCAUACACCAAGAUCAUCUGAUCCAGCCCUAGGCCACUCCUCAGCAGUUGGUCUAGUAAUGGAAAGAGGCUGAAGGGGUGGCAAACAAGCCCGUGCUUUGCUGUUCCAUUGUGGUUUGGCACUGGACUUGGUAGGUGACCUGUCGGACCACGAAAUAGACCGUGCAUAUGUUUUCCGAUUCCCACCAGCUGGUACCCU
This 207-nucleotide unclassified non-coding RNA is filed under the name Hevea brasiliensis (rubber tree). The record is from RNAcentral. Lineage: Eukaryota; Viridiplantae; Streptophyta; Magnoliopsida; Malpighiales; Euphorbiaceae.